This is a non-coding RNA of Beta vulgaris subsp. vulgaris (sugar beet), 560 nucleotides long. The record is from Rfam. Lineage: Eukaryota; Viridiplantae; Streptophyta; Magnoliopsida; Caryophyllales; Amaranthaceae.
AUGUGCGAGUAUUUGGGUGGAAAACCCUGAUGCGUAAUGAAAGUAAAGGCGGACUCGUGCCGCUGAGGUAGGAACCCUGGCUUCGGUUGGGGGGCACUAUCGACCGAACGUUCGCUUGCGAAAGUUUUGAGUAAGAGCACAUCUGUUGGGACCCGAAAGAUGGUGAUCUAUGCCAGAACAGGGUGAAGGCAGGGGAAACUCUGCUGGAAGCUCGUAGCGAUACUGACGUGCAAAUCGUUCGUCUGAUUUUGGUAUAGGGGCGAAAGACUAAUCGAACCAUCUAGUAGCUGGUUCCCACCGAAGUUUCCCCCAGGAUAGCUGGAACUAUAUCGGUCUUAUCAGGUAAAGCUAAUGAUUAGAGGUCUUCGGAAUGAAACAUUCUGACCCUAUUCUCAAACUUUAAAUAGGUAAGAAACCCUAAGUCACUUAAUUGGACUUGGGUCUCGGACGAGAGUUCUUAGUGGGCCAUUUUUGGUAAGCAGAACUGGCGAUGCGGGAUGAACCGGACGUUGACUUAAGGUGCCAAACUAUUCGCUCAUCUAGAUCUCGCAAAAGGUGUU